RNAcentral lists this ribosomal RNA (800 nucleotides) under Salinicoccus sp. JSM 102064. Its description in RNAcentral is "bacterial SSU rRNA". It matches the Rfam family "Bacterial small subunit ribosomal RNA", at positions 39 to 820 of the family's 1533-position model. Lineage: Bacteria; Bacillati; Bacillota; Bacilli; Caryophanales; Staphylococcaceae. The record is from RNAcentral.
GGGGGGCGUACUAUACAUGCAGUCGAACGCGAGAAGGAGGAGCUUGCUCCUCCGGAUCGAGUGGCGGACGGGUGAGUAACACGUAGGCAACCUGCCCAUCAGCCGGGGAUAACUGCGGGAAACCGUGGCUAAUACCGGAUAAUCCCGACUGUCGAUGGACGGUUGGUUGAAAGGCGGCCUUUGGCUGCCGCUGAUGGAUGGGCCUGCGGCGCAUUAGCUAGUUGGUGGGGUAAGGGCCCACCAAGGCGACGAUGCGUAGCCGACCUGAGAGGGUGAUCGGCCACACUGGGACUGAGACACGGCCCAGACUCCUACGGGAGGCAGCAGUAGGGAAUCUUCCGCAAUGGACGCAAGUCUGACGGAGCAACGCCGCGUGAGUGAAGAAGGGUUUCGGCUCGUAAAACUCUGUUGUUAAGGAAGAAUGACAGGCAGAGUAACUGCUGCCUGUGUGACGGUACUUAACCAGAAAGCCACGGCUAACUACGUGCCAGCAGCCGCGGUAAUACGUAGGUGGCAAGCGUUAUCCGGAAUUAUUGGGCGUAAAGCGCGCGUAGGCGGUUUUUUAAGUCUGAUGUGAAAGCCCCCGGCUCAACCGGGGAGGGUCAUUGGAAACUGGGGAACUUGAGUGCAGAAGAGGAGAGUGGAAUUCCAUGUGUAGCGGUGAAAUGCGCAGAGAUAUGGAGGAACACCAGUGGCGAAGGCGGCUCUCUGGUCUGUAACUGACGCUGAUGUGCGAAAGCGUGCGGAUCAAACAGGAUUAGAUACCCUGGUAGUCCACGCCGUAAACGAUGAGUGCUAAG